Molecule: ribosomal RNA, 253 nt
Filed under: uncultured bacterium
Lineage: Bacteria
Description: partial 16S ribosomal RNA
Rfam family: Bacterial small subunit ribosomal RNA
Source: RNAcentral
GACGAACCGUACGAACGUUAUUCGGAAUUACUGGGCUUAAAGGGUGCGUAGGCGGCGCGGAAAGUAGGGUGUGAAAUCCCUCGGCUCAACCGAGGAACUGCGCUCUAAACUACCGUGCUCGAGGGAGAUAGAGGUGAGCGGAACUGAGGGUGGAGCGGUGAAAUGCGUUGAUAUCCUAAGGAACACCGGUGGCGAAAGCGGCUCACUGGACCUCUUCUGACGCUGAGGCACGAAAGCUAGGGUAGCGAACGGG